UACUGGCCUUUAUAGUCCCACU
RNAcentral lists this microRNA (22 nucleotides) under Eisenia fetida (common brandling worm). Its description in RNAcentral is "Efe-Mir-193-P1n_3p (mature (guide))". The record is from RNAcentral. Lineage: Eukaryota; Metazoa; Annelida; Clitellata; Crassiclitellata; Lumbricidae.